Molecule: long non-coding RNA, 446 nt
Filed under: Manacus vitellinus (golden-collared manakin)
Lineage: Eukaryota; Metazoa; Chordata; Aves; Passeriformes; Pipridae
Description: lncRNA (ENSMVIG00005006426.1)
Source: RNAcentral
GCAGCAGCAGCAGCAGCACAGGCAAUGACUCUGCCGCAUCCGAAUCGCCUCGCCGGUGGUGCCGGCUCCGGAGACAUCACCUUGCUCUGAAGUUGCCCACCUGGAGGAGCAAUGUCAAAUACGGUACUCUGCAAAAAAUAGUGUGUGGAUUUCUAGCACCUGAAGAACAAGAAAAGGUCUCAGACUCUGGAUACUGGCUGUGGGAUUUUUUUAUUACUAUUAUUUUUGAUUGUUUUUUUCCCAUUUUUGGAUGUGAAUUGAAGGCCAACAGUUGAAGUGUUGGAAGCAAGUACAGGAGGACUCUCACCUUUUUGUUUGAACCCUUGUUUGCUGGGAUACUUUCAAGCUCUCCUUCACAGUCAUGUGGUCAUCACAGCUGCUCUUCUUCACAAUGCUCUUAACACCGAUAGCCCAUGGUGAGUGAGAGGUGGUGUAAAUUUGCCUGU